AUUGAACGCUGGCGGCAUGCCUUACACAUGCAAGUCGAACGGCAGCAUGGAGAGCUUGCUCUCUGAUGGCGAGUGGCGAACGGGUGAGUAAAGCAUCGGAACGUACCGUGUAGUGGGGGAUAACGUAGCGAAAGUUACGCUAAUACCGCAUACGCACUGAGGUGGAAAGCAGGGGAUCGUAAGACCUUGCGCUAUACGAGCGACCGAUGUCAGAUUAGCUAGUUGGUAGGGUAAAGGCCUACCAAGGCGACGAUCUGGAGCGGGUCUGAGAGGAUGAUCCGCCACACUGGGACUGAGACACGGCCCAGACUCCUACGGGAGGCAGCAGUGGGGAAUUUUGGACAAUGGGGGCAACCCUGAUCCAGCCAUGCCGCGUGAGUGAAGAAGGCCUUCGGGUUGUAAAGCUCUUUCGGCCGGGAAGAAAUCGCACAGGCUAAUACCCUGUGUGGAUGACGGUACCGGCAUAAGAAGCACCGGCUAACUACGUGCCAGCCGCCGCAGUAA
RNAcentral lists this ribosomal RNA (504 nucleotides) under uncultured bacterium. Its description in RNAcentral is "partial 16S ribosomal RNA". It matches the Rfam family "Bacterial small subunit ribosomal RNA", at positions 30 to 523 of the family's 1533-position model. The record is from RNAcentral.